GCAAAUUAAAAGGCAAAAUAUCUUCAGUUAAAUUUCUAGUUAAAGUGGAAAUGUUGGCAGAAUUUAAAAGAGUGCUAGUUGCCAAAGCCUGACUGCGCUAUCAACAAAAACGUGUGAAAUAUCUUCCUGUUCUGCCCUUGAUGUUAAUUCUGGUAGCAUCUGCAUUCUGGGGAGAGGCCUGGAGCUCAGCUUAAAUGCUGGUAAAGAGGCCGUCAAUGCUCAGUUUUAAAAUAUAUUUAUCAAGCAUUUUAUUUGGCUCACUACACUUUCUGUAAGUUAAUACUUCUAAUGGUGACAGUCUCCUUAGCUGUCACAUAACCACGUGUACCUCUGCAUGUGCUGUUGAUAUUUUGCUGAUUUGUGUAGGCCUGUGUCAGAGCUUGUUUUGGGAGAGGAGCUGGUGGACAGCGCUGUUUUGCACUGGUGGAGGGAAAGAACUGGAUGGAUGUGUAAAGCAACUGAUGGAAAAAUGGUAAAGAUGCAAAUGCAGUGAUCCCAGUGAUCACUCUAGGUCUACUUUUCUGCCUUCCUUUCCAAACCAUUAAAUGGCAGAGGAAAAUAUGUUCUGGGAGCCAGAAGUGUAGCUGGAGAAGAGGGUUUCACAGGGGAACUGUCACUUCAGUUUUACAUAGCUGGACUCUCACCUCCAGAGCAAGAACAACGGAGCGGGAAGCACAAAGACAGCAGGACAGCAACAUGUGCUCUCUCAUCCAGGAGCGCACCCUCUCUUCAGUGUCCUUGGCCACCAGCAUGCCC
This is a long non-coding RNA of Gallus gallus (chicken), 756 nucleotides long. Lineage: Eukaryota; Metazoa; Chordata; Aves; Galliformes; Phasianidae. The record is from Ensembl.